Molecule: ribosomal RNA, 440 nt
Filed under: uncultured Micropruina sp.
Lineage: Bacteria; Bacillati; Actinomycetota; Actinomycetes; Propionibacteriales; Nocardioidaceae
Description: bacterial SSU rRNA
Rfam family: Bacterial small subunit ribosomal RNA
Source: RNAcentral
CCUACGGGGGGCAGCAGUGGGGAAUAUUGCGCAAUGGGCGAAAGCCUGACGCAGCAACGCCGCGUGCGGGACGACGGCCUUCGGGUUGUAAACCGCUUUCAGCAGGGACGAAACUGACGGUACCUGCAGAAGAAGCACCGGCUAACUACGUGCCAGCAGCCGCGGUGAUACGUAGGGUGCGAGCGUUGUCCGGAAUUAUUGGGCGUAAAGAGCUCGUAGGCGGUCUGUCACGUCGGAAGUGAAAACUCGGGGCUCAACCCCGAGCCUGCUUUCGAUACGGGCAGACUUGAGGAAUGUAGGGGAGAACGGAAUUCCUGGUGGAGCGGUGGAAUGCGCAGAUAUCAGGAGGAACACCAGUGGCGAAGGCGGUUCUCUGGACAUUAACUGACGCUGAGGAGCGAAAGCGUGGGGAGCAAACAGGCUUAGAUACCCGUGUAGUC